Molecule: long non-coding RNA, 867 nt
Organism: Tupaia belangeri chinensis (Chinese tree shrew)
Lineage: Eukaryota; Metazoa; Chordata; Mammalia; Scandentia; Tupaiidae
Exons: 3
Source: RefSeq, a predicted model, not a curated record
UGGGGCGGCAGCGCCGCACAACUGCGCCUGCGCGCGAGUGUAUGCAGCGAGGCUGGGUCUGGCAGGGACCCGGAUCUUCAGUCGCGACUCAGAGUUUCUGUCCCCGCCGGCCGCCAGGGCUGGACUGUUAGAGAUCUUCGCGCAGGGCCCCUGAAUUUGACUCUGAAGCCCUUAUUAAGGGGGUUAUUCCUCCAUCUUGAGGACAUUUUGCAUCCGGCUCCCUUCCUUGUCUGUCUUGGGCAUCGGAUUCCCCAAGGGCGUCUGGUCCUGUUCGCUAGCCAGACUUCGGAAGCUCCCUCGCUCUCAAGAGAGCCCGAGCACAGAUGAGUUUGGGGAUUUUGACCCAGACCCAAACCGGUUCUAGCCCAUAUUAAGGACGUACUCGGGAAAACUGGUCACGUAUGGGCCGGGAACGGAGCUCUGGAGAAGAGAUUCGUCACGCCCGCUGUCCUGAGGUUCUAGAUGUGGCAGCAGUCAAGAAAGUUUGAGCACACAGUUGAGAAAGGAACCCCUUGCACAGCCUUGGAGAAGACUGAACUACAGAGAAGGGGAUUUAUGAGAAAUCUCAGAUGAAUGCAGCUGUCCCUCUCCUGGCUCCAGGUUGUGUGAACAGACAACAGAAUUCAGCACGGGGAGUAAACACAUUUUUGGCUGCCACUGGAGUAUGUGAUUGACCAGAAAGGCCCUUAGUGAAGAGGACUCCUUAGAGGAAGGAGAGAGGUACCUCUGUUCCAGAACAGCACAUGUGGGCAAGAUGUCCAUGACAAUGUUCAUGGAAAGCAUCAAAUGAAAUAGGAAAAAUACCGAAUAUGACCUAAUUAGUCAUUAGAAAGAGAAUGGAUAGGUCAUUUGUGAUAUCUUCAUACA